AACGAACGCUGGCGGCAUGCCUAACACAUGCAAGUAGAACGAGACCUUCGGGUCUAGUGGCGCACGGGUGCGUAACGCGUGGGGACCUGCCCUUAGGUUCGGAAUAACUCCCCGAAAGGGGUGCUAAUACCGGAUAAUGUCUUCGGACCAAAGAUUUAUCGCCUUUGGAUGGGCCCGCGUUGGAUUAGCUAGUUGGUAGGGUAAAAGCCUACCAAGGCGACGAUCCAUAGCUGGUCUGAGAGGAUGAUCAGCCACACUGGGACUGAGACACGGCCCAGACUCCUACGGGAGGCAGCAGUGGGGAAUAUUGGACAAUGGGCGAAAGCCUGAUCCAGCAAUGCCGCGUGAGUGAUGAAGGCCUUAGGGUUGUAAAGCUCUUUUACCCGGGAUGAUAAUGACAGUACCGGGAGAAUAAGCUCCGGCUAACUCCGUG
RNAcentral lists this ribosomal RNA (433 nucleotides) under uncultured bacterium. RNAcentral describes it as "partial 16S ribosomal RNA". It matches the Rfam family "Bacterial small subunit ribosomal RNA", at positions 29 to 507 of the family's 1533-position model. The record is from RNAcentral.